Molecule: ribosomal RNA, 606 nt
Filed under: uncultured fungus
Lineage: Eukaryota; Fungi
Description: eukaryotic LSU rRNA
Rfam family: 5.8S ribosomal RNA (bases 226-379)
Source: RNAcentral
AAGUCGUAACAAGGUCUCCGUUGGUGAACCAGCGGAGGGAUCAUUACAGAGUUUAACAACUCCCAAACCCAUGUGAACUUACCUUUGUUGCCUCGGCAAGGAGGGUGCCUACCCGGUAACGAGCUGCCCUGUAGCGAGUUACCCUGUAGCCGCCCGCCCCUGCCGGUGGACCAUUAAACUCUUGUUAUUCUAUAGAUAUCUGAGCGUCUUAUUUUAAUAAGUCAAAACUUUCAACAACGGAUCUCUUGGUUCUGGCAUCGAUGAAGAACGCAGCGAAAUGCGAUACGUAAUGUGAAUUGCAGAAUUCAGUGAAUCAUCGAAUCUUUGAACGCACAUUGCGCCCAUUAGUAUUCUAGUGGGCAUGCCUGUUCGAGCGUCAUUUCAUACCUUAAGCCUAGCUUAGUGUUGGGAACCUACAUCUGGGAGGCGAGUUACCCUGUAACGAGCCUACCCUGUAGCUCCUGAAAUUCAACGGCGGAUCCGCAGUAUCCUCUGAGCGUAGUAAUUCAUUAUCUCGCUUUGGUAAGGUGCUGUGUAUCCAGCCGAUAAACACCCAAAUUUUUAAUGGUUGACCUCGGAUCAGGUAGGAAUACCCGCUGAACUUAA